Molecule: long non-coding RNA, 23549 nt
Filed under: Musa acuminata (dwarf banana)
Lineage: Eukaryota; Viridiplantae; Streptophyta; Magnoliopsida; Zingiberales; Musaceae
Description: long non-coding RNA (MACU_LNC001599)
Source: RNAcentral
CUACACUAUCUCGACCUUCAGGGAUGGUAUUAUGAUGAUUUUCUACAUGUUGAUGAUCUCGAUUGGCUCUCCCGUAUUCCUUCUCUAAAAUAUCUUGACAUGAGUUAUGUCAACCUCUCCAAAGCAACCAAUUGGUUCUACAUAAUUAAUUCAAUCCCCACACUUGAAGUGCUACAUUUGAUUUAUGUAGACCUGCCAUAUGUUCCAUCUCCUUUGCCCCCUUUUAAUCUGACAGACAUUGCUACGUUGGAUCUGUCUUUGAAUUCUAACAUCACGUCUGCCAUGCUAAGAUGGCUUUCUAACGCCACCAGCCUCGAGAACCUCCUUCUUUCUGGCUGUGGGAGUCUCACUAUCGAGUCGGUACAAGUUGCUCUAGGAGCUCUCCUUAAUCUGAAGGAAUUGGAUUUGUCAUUCAACUCCCUUAAAGGAGAAAUUCUUGAAAUUCUGAACAAUGUCAGUAGCAGUGGCCUGAAGCACUUGGAUUUGAGAUGGAAUCAAUUAUCUGGAGAUAUUCCUCGAGGGAGCCUUAGAGACCUGGAGUACCUAGACUUAUCAACGAAUUUAAUUGUCGACGUGCAUAUCUUAGCUUCUCUGGGGAAUCUCACAAACUUGCGACAUUUAGACUUGGGGUACAAUUUGAUCAGCGGAGAAAUUCCACCGACCGUGGGAGAUGCUGUCCGAUUGGAGUACCUAUAUUUGUCCUAUAAUGGCAUCAUUGGAAAAAUACCACAGAGCAUGGGGAACCUCAGUAACCUAUUGGAAUUACAUUUAUCAGGCAACAAAAUUGUGGGAUGGAUACCACCGAGCAUCGGCAACCUCAGUAACCUAUUGGAAUUACAUUUAUCAGGCAACAAAAUUGUGGGAUGGAUACCACCGAGCAUCGGCAACCUCACCAACUUGGUAUACUUAGAUUUAUCGAGGAAUAAUAUUGUCGGUUGGAUACCACCGAGCAUCGUCAACCUCACCAACUUGGUACACUUAGAUUUAUCAAUGAAUAAUAUUAGCGGAUACAUUCCAGAGACUUUGGGUACUCUCAUCCAUAUGGAGGAAUUAUAUUUGUUUAACAAUCGUAUUUCUGGACAAAUACCAGAAACCAUUGGGGAUCUUCAAAAUCUACGGAUAUUAUUUUUAAGCAAUAACCAUAUUUUUGGGCAGAUACCAAAGAAGAUCGGUAAACUCCACUACUUGCAAAACUUGGACAUGUCAUAUAACAACUUAUCAGGUCAGAUACCAACUACGUUGGGUGACCUAUGCAAUUUGACCGUGUUAGAUUUGUCUCACAAUAACAUUGGUGGAGACCUUACAAAUCUAUUCUAUGGUUUGUCUACUUGUUCACAAGGAGCAUUUUUAUCAUCCUUAGUCCUGAAGGGUAACAAUUUGAGUGGGAUUAUUCCUUCGAGCAUGGGCCAAUUAUCUCGGCUACAAGAGGUAGACCUCUCCUCAAACUCGCUGGCUGGCAACAUUACCGAAGCACACUUUUUAAAUCUUACGAGCUUAUCAAAAUUGAUAAUCGCUUCCAACUCCUUGAAUGUGAUGCUACCGAAUGAUUGGCGGCCCCCUUUUAAUGCCUCCAUUAUCGAUAUGAGCUUUUGUCAUCUACGAGGAAAAUUUCCUGCUUGGAUUCGGACUCAACAACAAUUGCAAAGUCUUUAUCUAUCUGGAGUUGGAGUCUCAGGCAGCCUCCCUAUUUGGUUUUCAAAUUUCUCAAAAGGUUUGAAAAUUCUUUACUUGAGCUCCAACUAUUUGACUGGUCAAUUACCUUCUCCUCCCCAAUUGAUAUUGAUAUUGGAUCUUUCCAACAACUCAUUUGUUGGACCUAUUCCAUUGAGCUUCGAAGAAGCUACGUACCUCCUUUUUUUAUCUUUGUCUCAUAAUCAUAUGAAUGGUGAUUUUCCUCCCUUCUUUUGUAAUCUGAAUUUCCUUAUGAUUCUCGACCUAUCUAACAAUCACUUAAUUGGAAAAGUCCCCGAUUGUCAUAAUUCAUUUCCAAUCUCUCUACGAUCUUUACAUUUAAAUAAUAACAAUUUAUCUGGAAGGAUUCCUUCAUUUUUGAAAUACUGUAACCAAUUAAUUAACCUUGAUUUAGGUGAAAAUAAAUUAUUUGGUAAAAUUCCGAAAUGGAUAGGAAGAAACCUCUCGUCAUUGAAGGUUCUUAGUCUGAGGUCAAACUUAUUAAAUCGUGUUAUCCCUGAGAACAUAGUGAAUCUCACUUCUCUUCAGGUUUUGGAUCUUUCUUCCAACAAUUUAUUUGGUAGCCUACCAUCAUCUCUAGGAAAUUUCACUGCCAUGGUUGAGGUACAAAAUGACACGAGGUCAUUGAUUGAAGAUUACUAUUCUUACAUCGAGAGCAUCUUAUUCACAACAAAGGAAUUAAUAGUUGAAGAACACUGUUCUUAUAGCGAGAGCAUCUUGCUAACUACAAAAGGGGAAAUUGCUGAUUACACAACCAUUCUCUCGCUCGUGACAUUCAUAGACUUGUCAAAUAAUCAGCUCUCUGGUGAAAUCCCGAAAGACCUGACAAAGCUUCUCGGACUGCGCUUCCUAAACUUAUCCAACAAUCAUUUGACGAGGAGGAUUCCAGAAAACAUUGGUGACAUGAAAACAUUGGAAUCGCUUGACUUAUCUGUGAACAGUCUGAUAGGGGAGAUACCUUCGAGCUUUUCUGCUAUGCAUUUCCUGGAACGUUUGAAUCUGUCUUACAACAACUUAUCAGGAAAAAUACCCACGAGUGGUCAAUUGUCGACCUUUGACCCUUCGACAUAUGUGGGUAAUAAAGGCCUUUGCGGUAUGCCACUGCCAGCUUGCCCUGUUUAUCAAACUCCACCCGAUGCCAGAGUUAAAGAUGAUGAGAAGCUCGACAAAUUAUUGGAGUACACCAGUAUUGUGGUUGGAUUUGUGGUUGGCUUCUGGCUGUUUAUUGGCACUCUCAUCAUGAAGCAGGCCAUCAGAUUCGCUUUCUUCCGACGGAUCGACAAGACCAUUGACUGGAUCUAUGUUCAGUUUGCAGUUAAGCUUGCGAAGCUCAAAUCCAAAUGGCAAACAACGACAUGAACUGCCGGUAAGUGCUAAAGUGUGUCAUGUUUUCCUUUGUAGUUAGUCGCAUCGAAAUCUUGCGUUAGCAUGUAAUGAUGUUAUCAUAUUAUGCUGUCAUGAUUAAGCUGAAAUAAGCAUCAUGGAUUCCCUGUAUACAUUACAUGCAUUAGUUCUAGUAUCAUAACAUCUCCAUCUAUCAUCACUUUGCUAUCGCAAGGCCUUCGCUUAUGGAUUGAUACAUACAUAUCUGACAACUAAAAAGAUUAAUUGCAAGAGUGUAUGUCAUACAUACUCUGUUUGCUAACGAAAUAGUUAAUCUACCUAUAUUUAAUCGAUGUUUGAGAGGGAAGAUUGUGUUCUUCUGUUAGUGUCCUUACGAUAGAAAAAAAAAUUCAACUUUGUUAUUAUGCUCAAAUUAGAUAAAGAUAAUGACAAUCACAGUAUGGAGAGACAAUUAGACAAUAAAAUUGUAACCAUUAUUGUGGACAUGCUCUUAGCGUUUGGCUGAAAUCAAUGUCUUAUUCGAGUGGCGAAUCUUUUUUUUCUGAGAAGAGACUGUAUAAUUUGAUUCUUCUCCACAUUCAUAUGGUAUGAGACUCACUCUUCAUUUUCUACCAAAGUACAUAUUUUUUUUCUGCAAAAAUAAAAUCCACGUCCAACGAAUUAUUUUUUUCUAAAAGUGAAUUAUUAUUAAUAAAUAAGUUUUAUAAAUUCAUAGCAAUCCCACUCUAGACUGCUUAUUCCUAUCAUUUGGGUGCUAAAUCUUGAGACCUUUUGAAUAUAUAAUUGUCUUAAGAGAGAUAUUUUAUGUUUCUUGAUUGAGUUUUUUUCGUUAAUCAACAUUUUAUGUUAUAUGCGUUUGUUUCAAUAUUCAUAACAUGAGAGCAUAUAUAUAUAUUUUUUGUUCCUUUUUCCUGGAAAUCAUAUUUUGCAGGACUGGCAGAACUUUGAUUUAGGUGUUACCAGAAUGCUUUAUAUAACUUCCCGAUUUGCUGCUAUUUUGGGGUUUAUAAUAAAAAGCAGAUUGCCACCAGUUCAGCUGAUGCAGGAGUCAAACUAGAAGAAGAUGACAAUGGAGAUAUGCUUGAAACAAUAAUAUUAGAUGUUACUAGCGUUGUCGUGGGAUUAAUAGUUGUUUCUGGGGUUUCUAUCGGCGUAGUGAUCGUGAAGCAAGGCUCAAGGAUUACUCUCUUCCAACAAAAUGACAACAUCUAUGGCUGCAUGCAGAUAUGUGCAGCUGAAAGCUGAAGCCCAAAAUAAUGACGAAGAAUCAAUUGAACUGUGGCUAAGUGCUAAGACUGUCUAUGUAGACUUCAUGUAUUUAUGUUCUAGUGUUUUAUUUCAUGAAUGACCAUUUGGUGUUGUCCAGAAAUAAGGUUGUUGUUUAAAUAUAACAUCUGAGACAUGGCAUCAGGAUUGCUCUGUUCCAGUUGAUCGGCAGGACUUGUGAUUGGAUCUAUGUGCAGGUGGCAGUAAAGCUUAAGGAACCGAAGUGCAAAUGGCGAAGAAUGACUUGAAGAAUCACCAAGCAUCUCAAGCUCAUGUCAUCCUCUUCAUGUUAUGAUGUAUUUAUGUUUCUUGUAAUUGUUGUAGUCUCUUUAGAGUCUUAAAUCUAUUGGCAACUUGCUGCUGCUUUUUAGUGUAGUGAAACUUAAUUUACUGCAUCACUUAUUGCUUCUUUUCCAGAAACAAACCAAUGGUCCACAGGAGGGCAAAUGAGUUGUCAUAACAUACGCAACAUAUUACUAUGAAUUGAGAAUUGCUCCAGUGGAAGCAUCAUAACUCCAUCCUACAUAUACAUGAAAUUGAUUUCAGUGAGUGCUUCAGGGGAUUCCAGCUGAGAACAAAGUGUGAUUAUGUUCAAUAUAUCUCAAUCAGGGGAAGACUUGCUCAUGCUUUCAUAAUGGAUUUAACCAUUCAAAGUGUUUUCUAUGGCCUUGGAAGUUGCUGUUCUGUUGUCAGAUCUCUUCAAUCUCUCAAACUCUCAACUAUUCAAAUCAUGCCUUAGUUUGAUGAACCAAAUGGAUUAAUCAAAAGAAUGAUUCUGGAUUAAUCAAAAGAAUUAAUCAAACCAAGCUUUCUCUUUAUAUGCUACUUCAAUCUCUCUGUGACCAAGCUUUCUCAGUGGAGAAAUUCCAAUAAUUUGGUUCAUUUAGAUAUAUCAAGUAACUUUAUUACCGGACAAUUACCACCACCGGGGAACCUCAUCAACUUAGAAUACUUAGAUUUAUCAUCCAACAAUAUCGUCGGAAGUAUUCCACAUACUUUGGGUUCUCUCAUCCAUCUCAAUAUAUUAAUCUUACUUCAAAAUGAUAUUUCUUGACGUAUACUAGAAACCAUUACAUUUCAAGAUCUUAAGUUAUACAACUUAGACGAAUACAAGAGACAAUUGGUAGACUCUAUCACUCGAAAAUUUUGAACAUAUCAUACAAUAACUUAUAGAUACCAAUGAUAUUAGGUAAUUUGACCAUGCGACUCUUUCUUUAAAUUAUUCUUAAUUUUUUAGGAAUUCUUUUUUACCCGAAACAUGGUUAUUUUUUUCAAAAUAAAUUUGUGUCCAACCAAGGAAACUUGUCCAAAACAUUUGAUGAGAGUAUAAACUUCUUAUGCCUAUCAAUCGGGUGCUAAAAGAUUGAAAAUUGGAUAACCAUCUCAAGAAAUAUUUUCUUUGGUAAUCAGAAUUCCUGCUUGAGUGGUUUUGGUCAACCAACGUUAAUUGCUUCAACAUAUUUACUGACCACAGCAAAAAAUGAUUAUGUGGAAUAUUUUUCCUUGACUGCCACAAAAUAAGUUUGGGAACGGACUCAAAAUUGGGUCGGAUUCGGGCUCGAAUCGAAUCGACUCGGGAUGUUGACCGAAGUCAACUUCUCACCGGCCCCACCUGCGUUCCUCGCCGCAGCCGUUCCCAUCGCCUGCGUUCACACAGUGCACCGCCGCACGCGGGGGCGUUUCACGCUCGCAGUCCUCCCCGCGGCCGCAGCCCGCUGUCUUCAUCGACGCCUCCCCGUGUGCCCGCACCGGCCCCCCCCAGCCACAGUCGCCGAAGUCGUCCAACGCAGCCGCAGUCGCACCUCUCCGCUCGCAGGCGGCGAGCCCUCCACCUUCCCUUGCUCCUAUAAAUAGAGCUUUGGGGAACAACAGCGAGGGAAGCGAAGGAGAGAACAACGAGAGAGAGGAAGAGAGGAGAAGUGAGUAAGGAGCCCAAAUCCGACCAAUGUUCUUCUCCGGCGAGAAGUCCAGUCGCCGAUCUCCGUCGCCGGCCAGUCACUGUGCUCAUUGCAGCACCAUUGAGGAAGAGAGGAGAAGAGGAAGAAGAGGAAUUUGACUGGUCAACCCUGGUCAACAUUGAUGAACAGAGGUAAUUUUGUAAUUUUGGUUUAUAUGGUAAAUUUUAGAUUUUUUUAUAAAGAAAGUGAAUGUUGCAACACUCCUAUUAAUCCUUUCAAUAUAUGGUAUUUGAGCCUUUUUACUAGAUUAUCAAGUUACCGGGCUUCAUCGAUAGACAUAAGAAACAAGAUCAAAAAAGUGGAUCGAAACAUCAACUACUCUCUAUAAACGAUAAAGAUGAAGACUAUCUGAAUAAAGGAGAAACAUCAUUACACUAUCUUCGGGAAAGAAAAAAUAACAAACAUGAAUGAGAAAAAGUAGAAUUUGAUCAAAGUGUUAUGACAAUUUUAUUUAUGUGCAUAUCCAAUGAAGCACUUUACGAUAUUGCCAUAAAACAAACAACAGUAAAAGUUUGAGACACAAAGCAUAUUAGUAGAAGACCCUUACAAGAAAAAUGACCCUCAAGUAUAUGUUGUACCGAAUGACAAAAGGAACCUUAGUGAAUCAAUACAUUAGUGUCUUUCAAACUAAAAUUCAUGGAUCUUGAGAAUAUGAAUGUUGUCAUCGACGAAGAAGACAAAGCCAUGUUAUUAUUAUUUUUAUAUAAAAACUUUUUGAAAAUAAUUUUAUAUUGAAAGAAUACCAUUUCUCUAGAUAUUAUGAUUUUAACCCUAGUGUCAAAAGAAUACCAUCUCUUUUAUAGACUUCUAGUUGACAAUGGAAACCUCCAAAAGUCAUGCUGAAGCUUUAAACUUCAUGGAGAGAUGUAGAGUUUAGGAAAGGAGACAGAAAUAAAUCUAUAGCCAAAUCUAGAUCAAAGUAAGUAUUAUUGCAAAAGGAAGGGCCACAUCAAAGCAGACUGUUGAGCUUAAAAUAAAAUGCAACAAUCAAAAUGCUAAAGCCUCAUGCAUAAACAAAGAGAUUGAGAUUGAGGUACUUAUGGCCUCCAUAUGCCACCAGGCCACAGGAUGGGUGGCUUUUGGACUCCAUAUGUUCCUUUCAUAUGAUACAACAUGGAUGUUAGUUCUCCACUUAUGAACUCACCCAAGAAGAAAAAGAUGCGCUUAUGGGAAGAACUCAUCGUGUUAGAUCAUCCAAACAGGACAAGUUAAAAUCAAGACACGACAUGAUUAUAAGAUCCUUGGUAAAGGUAUAGCACAUUCGUGAGUUAAAGAGAAACUUAACUUUAUUAUCCACUUUGGAUGCCUUAGGCUAUGACUAGUCUGACCAAUGAGCCCAAAUCGAACAAAAGUUCUUCGACAAAACAUUUUUUCAUCGAUCUUUGUCGUCGGUCCAUCGCUUAAUCUCAUUGCAACAGUUGUAAAGUAGAGAAAGUUGAUCGGUGAACUUUGGUUAUUGUUCUAACUCUCACAUCUUUAUCGUGAGUUGAUUAUUAUUUAACAGUUAAAUUGUUCACACCUAAAUCCCCAACACCCAAAUCUCUCGUAUUAAUCAAUCAACUCUCGAUAGCAUCAGAUUUAUGUCUCCUUCACAUAGGUUUGCAUCCGACUUGAGUCUCAGGCAGCCUCCCUAUUUGGUUUUCAAAUUUCUCAAAAGGUUUGAAAAUUAUUAACUUGAGCUCCAACUAUUUGAUUGGUCAAUUACCUUCUGCUCCCCAAUUCAUAUUGAAUCUAUCCAACAACUUAUUUGUUGGACCUAUUCCAUUGAGCUUGAAAAAAGCUACGAGACUCAUUUUGUUAUUUUUGUCUCAUAAUCAUAUCAACGGUGAUUUUCCUUUCUUCUUUUGUCAUAUGGAUUCACUUGGAGUUCUAGACCUAUCUAACAAUCACUUAAUUGGAGAAGUCCCCGAUUGUCAUAAUUCAUUUCCGAUCUCUCUACGAUCUUUACAUUUAAAUAAUAACAAUUUAUCUAGAAGGAUUCCUUCAUUUUUGAAAUACUGUGACCAAUUAAUUAUCCUUGAUUUAGGUGAAAAUAAAUUAUUUGAUAAAAUUCCGAAAUGGAUAGGAAGAAACCAUGAAGGUUCUUCGUCUGAGGUCAAACUUAUUAUAUGGUACUAUCCCUGAGAACAUAGUGGAUCUCACUUCUCUUCAGGUUUUGGAUCUUUCUUCCAACAAGUUCUUUGGUAGCCUACCAUCAUCUCUAGGAAAUUUCACUGCCAUGGUUGAGGUACAAAAUGACACGAGGUCAUUGAUUGAAGAUUACUAUUCUUACAUCGAGAGCAUCUUAGUCACAACAAAGGGAUCAAUGGUUGAGUACACAACCAUUCUCUGGCUGGUGACAUGCAUAGACUUGUCAAAUAAUCAUCUCUCUGGUGAAAUCCCAAAAGAACUGACAAAGCUUCUCGGAUUGCGCUUCCUAAACUUAUCCGAGAAUCAUUUGACGGGAAGGAUUCCAGAAAAGAUGGGUGACAUGACACUAUUGGAAUCGCUUGACUUAUCAGUGAACAGUCUCACAGGGGUGAUACCUUCGAGCUUUUCUGCUAUGAAUUUCCUGGCCCGUUUGAAUCUGUCUUACAACAACUUAUCAGGAAAAAUACCCACUAGUGGUCAACUGUCAACCUUUGACUCAUGGACAAAUGUGGGUAACAAAGACCUUUGCGGUACGCCACUGCCAGAUUGCCCUGUUUAUCGAAUUCCACCUGACGCCAGAGUUAAAGAUGAUGAGAAGCUCGACAAAUUAUUGGAGUACACCAGUAUUGUGGUCGGAUUUGUGGCUGGCUUUUGGCUGUUUACUGGCACGCUCAUCACGAAGCAGGUCAUCAGAUUCGCUUUCUUCCGAUGGAUCGACAAGGCCAGCGAUUGGAUCUACGUUCAGUUUACAGUUAAGCUUGCGAAGCUCAAAUCCAAAUGGCAAACGAUGACAUGAACUGUGGGUAAGUGUUCAUGUUGUCCUUUGUAGUUAGUCACAUCGAAAUCUUGUGUUAGCGUGUAAUGAUGUUAUCAUAUUAUGCUGUCAUGAUUAAACAGAAAUAAGCAUCAUAGAUGGUCUAUAAUCGUUAUAUGUAUUAGUUAUAGUAUCAUAACAUCUCCAUCUAUCAUCAUUUUGCCAUCGUCUGGCCUUCGUUUAUCAAUCGAUACAUAUCUGACAACUAAAAGAUUGAUUGCAAGUGUCUCUGUCAUACUCUGUUGGUCCCUUUUUUUUUGUUGCAAAAAUCAAUUAUAUUUCUUGAGAUUAUAUACAAAGUUCAUUGUUUCAUAGAGAUUGUUUUCUCCUGUUAUUGUUGUUACAAUAAAAGAAAAUUCAACCAUGUUAUUAUGCUCUAGUGAUACAAUUAGACAAUAAAAUCGUAACCAUUGUUGUGGACAUGAUCUUGGUAUUUGGCCAAAAUUGAUGUUUUAUUCCAGUACCGAAUCUUUCUUUUCAGAGAUGAGAUUGUAUAUUUUGAUCAUUAUCAAAAUCCAUAUUACUAUGAGACUCACUCUUUAAAAAAAUCAUUAUUAACCAUUUAUAUAUCCAUUUUUUACAAAAGUAUAUUUUUUGAAAAAAAUAAAAUCCAUGUUCAACCAAACAAAUUUAUCCAUCAAGUUUUUCUAGAAGUAAAUUAUUAUUUAUAAAUACAUUUUCAAAUUCAUGUCUAUCACAGUUUAGACUGCUUAUUCCUAUCAUCGGGUGCUAAAGCUCGAGACAUUUGAUUAUAUAAUUAUCUUAAGAAAGAUAUUCUAUGUUUCUUGAAUGAUUUUUUUUGACAGAUCAACAUUUUAUGUUACGGGUGAUUGUUUCAGUAUUCUUAACGGACAUCUAAAUAUGGUCGAUUAGUGUCCGACCAAAUCAUCUCGAAUUGAGGACAUCAAAAAUUGAAUGCCAGUAACCUAAGACAUAAUUGAAUAGCAAAUAUCUAUGAAUUACUUGUCAAAUUACUUAAGAACAACAUUACAAAAAAAAUCCUUUACGGUUAUGAUUUUAUUGUUCAAAACACACAUGUCUUAGAUGUGUAUUAUAAGGUUUUAUCUAUAAGAUCGUCCUUUAAGAUAUAUGUAGAAAGAUGUUUAGAGUCUUUGAAAUCGGGUUUGAGUUGAAUUAGAUUUAUUUUAUUUUAUCUAAUUAAUUUAAUCAAUUUAUUUCUUGUAAUAUUCAUUACAAAAUAACUAUCUACUAAAUGGAGAUAGUUAUAUAUUUUAACUACAAAAGACUCAAUCCUUGAAGACUCGUUAGUUAAUAAGCUCUAUCUUUAAGAGUUGAAUAGCUCUUGUCGAAUAUAUCCUCGACUUAGUUUUAUAAUUCGUUGGUUGAUAAGCUCUAAGGGUAUUACUCCUUAAGUAACAUACUAUCUAUACCAUCUAACGUAUAUAUUUAUUACGCAUUCUAGUAUAUCUCUGGUUUAGUUUUGAUGAAGAUCAUUUACUUGAGUUAUUUUAUCAUCAUACUAAACUUGUGACAUAGGUUAUCUGAAAGGAGGAUAGCUCUAUGAGAUUGUUAAACAUAAUAUAUAAUCAAAAUCGAUGUCGAUACUUAAGAAAUGACAUGUACUCUUAUCGUCGAAGAAAAAAAUAUAUCCACACUACAUUACUAAUGAAUAAAUUGAAACUCCAUUUAUGAUAAUCGAACAAAUGUGACUCCUAUCGAUUGGUCAACAAAAUUGGAACAUUAAUAAAUCAUUCAACUAUUAGAUGAGUUGAUUUUUUCUUUCACAAUUAAACUCUUCACAUCUAAAUCUUCAUUAUUCAUCAAAUACCCAAGUCUCACGUAUUAAUCAAUCAACUCUCGUUCACGUUGACCAGUGUGCAUGCAUCAGAGUCUCCGAGAGACAUAUGUGUCUCAUUCAAAUUGACUUGCGCCGAGCCAAAUAUAAGACUUUCUUGGUCAUAUGAUAGAAGCCUGGAUGAGUGUUCAGACUUUAUGCACUCAUACACAACUUUUUCCAACCUCACGCCACAUAGAAGGUGGAAAUUAAAGGUGUGAGAUCUUUCGUGGCAAUUCACCUCUUCCAUCCCAUAUCCAAUCAUUCAAUAUCCAUGCUUUUCAAUACCGAAAUUUUUUUUGACGUGUUCAUCGGGGAACAUCAACAUUUACUUUUUUUUUUCUUUUAUAUGAAAGAAUUUUAGAUAAUUUACUUAGAAAAUAAGUCAUGAUUAACUUUUUACCAAGAGCAUUCUUUUUACCAUGAUUAACUUUCAGAAAAUUCUUCCAUCUCGAUACUAAUUUUGUGACAAAGGUGAUCUCGAAGCAAAUUUAUUCUAUAACGUUGAUAGAUGAAUCAAAAUUGACAUCAACACUUGAAAAGUGGCACGUUAAAGUCCCAACCACUCUUCUACGGUAAUUAAGCAACUGUGACUCCUCUUGACCAGUUGACAAAAUCUCUGACGCUAAUCUUUAUCAUGACUUGAUUGUUGUUUCGUAGUUAAGCUCUUGGCAUCUAAAUCUCCAGCAUUCAUCAAACACCCAACUCUCACGUGUUAAUCAAUAACUCUCAAUGACAUCAGAGUUUCCAAGAGACAGAUGUAUCUCAUUCACAUUAAUUUGCACCUUAGCAACACGAUAAGAUGCAAGACUUUGACUUGCGUCUCAGCCUUCGAUGAGUAUGGAUGAUUUCCCUCCGACCUCACACCAUAUGGAAGACAAAGAUGGAAAUCAAAGCAUCGUGACCUAUCAUUGGAAGAGUCCUCUUCCAAUAUUUCACUCCAUCCAUAUCAAACCAUUCAUCACGUCAUCAGAAAUAUCCAUACUUUCCAACGUCGAAAGUCUCCUUGACUUGUAUGUCGGGGAGCAUAAACAAUUUAUAUCCUUUUUUUAUUUUAUAUAAAAAUAUAUUUUAAAUAAUUUAUUAAAAAAAGAUCAUAAUUAGCGUUUAUCAAAGAGUAUUCUUUUUUCUGAAUUUACUAAAGAGCUCUUUAUUUUAGGGAUUUUUACAUAGUUUUACGGUGUGAAUCUAUCCAAGUUCGAUUUAAAAAAACAAAAUAUCUAAAAUCAUCUAAAAAUAGAAAACCCAAUGAAAUUACUAUUUCAUGUUGUAUUUAUCUUCUAUAUUAAAAUUGAGUUGAAUAAGCUUUUAAGUCAUUAUACUCAUACAUGUACCAUGUUAUAUUCGAUGGCAGAAUCAACAUAGGAAAUAUAUCACUUAAGAAACCUCUAGAAUCACCUUAAAAAUAGAAAAGAAGAAUGAAAUCAACAUGUAUAUCAUAUUUGCCUGCUCUAUCGAAAGAUACAAGUAAGUUUGUGUUACACUUUGUAACGCUAGUAAAUCAACGCUGGAUGGAACCCUCACAUCAGAAUUAAGUUUCCUUUGACUUCUAACUGCGUAUUAGCCACACUAAAGUACGAGUAUGCAUGACCUUGACUGCGUAUUAGCCACUGCAUCAAUUCUACAGAUAAUGUGCGUACAAGUCAUGGGGAUUUCCGGUGGUGAUGUGCCUAUACAUACCCACAGAGACAUCCUCUGCAACCUCACACCUUCACAUUUCUUCUCUCUCGAGCGUUCCAUCAAUGGCUGCAGCUGGUAGCGGCAGUUUCCAGGACGGACGUAUUGCCUCGAAACGUCUCAUGAUGCUCGUGGCCCUGCUUCUCGUCUCCUGCUGUCUCGGCCAUGGCUUCGGCGAUGAGGAUCAUGUCGAGGUGGAGGGAAUCGGCAGCAGUUGCAUGGAAAGCGAGAGGAGAGCUCUCCUCGCCAUCAAAUCCGAUAUGUACGACCCCGACAACUGGUUUUCUUCUUGGACCGGCAAAGACUGCUGUGGGUGGAGAGGUGUGGCCUGCGACCACACCACCGGCCAUGUCACCAAGCUCGACCUCCGCUAACCCUACACAUACGAAUUGUGGGAUAUGUUUAACGAUGGGGAAACAAUAGGCGUGAGCAAGGUAAAUCCAUCUUUGCAAGAACUGAAGCAUUUGCAAUACGCCCCUGUGCCUAAAAUGAUCGCUUCACUAGUCCACUUGGAAUAUCUCAACCUAUCUUAUGCCAUGUUCGAUGGACUGAUUCCUCCUCAGCUGGGGAACCUCUCAAACCUACACUAUCUCGACCUUCAGGGAUGGCACAGUUUAUACAUCGAUAGUCUUGAUUGGCUCUCCCGUAUUCCUUCUCUGAAAUAUCUUGACAUGAGUUAUGUCAACCUCUCCGAGGCAACCAAUUGGUUCUACAUAAUUAAUUCAAUCCCCACACUUGAAGUGCUACAUUUGUUUUAUGUAUACCUGCCAUAUGUUCCAUCUCCUUUGCCCCCUUUUAAUCUGACAACCAUCGCUACUUUGGAUUUGUCUUGGAAUUCCAACAUCCCGUCUGCCAUGCUAAGAUGGCUUUCUAACGCCACCAGCCUCGAGUACCUCCUUCUUUCUGGCUGUCGGAGUCUCACUAUCGAGUCGGUGCAAGUUGCUCUAGGAGCUCUCAGUAAUCUGAAGGAGUUGGAUUUGUCGUACAACUCCCUUGAAGGAACAAUUCUUGGAAUUCUGAACAAUGUCAGUAGCAAGGGCCUGAAGCACUUGGAUUUGAGCUUCAAUCAAUUAUCUGGAGAUAUUCCUCCAGGGAGCCUUAGAGACCUGGAGUACCUUGACUUAUCAUGGAAUUCUAUUGUCACUCUUCAUAUCUUAGCUUCUCUGGGGAAUCUCACAAACUUGCGACAUUUAGACUUGUGGGGCAAUUCAAUCAGUGGAGAAAUUCCACCAACCGUAGGAAAAUUUGUCCGAUUGGAGUACCUAGAUUUGUCCUAUACUGGCAUCAACGGAAAAAUACCAGAGAGCAUCGGCAACCUCACCAACUUGAUAAUCUUAGAUUUAUCAUACAACAAUAUCGUCGGAAGUAUUCCAGAGACUUUUGGUGCUCUCAUCCGUAUGAAGCUAUUAUAUCUCGAUGACAAUCAAAUUUCUGGAGAAAUACCAGCAACCAUUGGGGGUCUCCAAAACCUGCUUGAGUUGAUUUUAAAAGGCAACUCAUUUACUGGACAAAUACCUAAUACGAUUGGCAGACUCCAUAGUUUGAAGUGCUUGGACAUAUCAAAUAAUAAUUUAUCAGGUUUGCUACCAAAAACAAUGGGUGGUCUGUGCAACUUGACCAAGAUAGAUUUGUCUCAGAAUAAUAUUGGUGGGGAGCUAACCAAUCUAUUUGAUGGUUUAUCUGCCUGCACAUAAUGGACAUCUUUACUAUCCUUAUAUAUACAGCGCAAUCAUUUAUACGGUACUAUUCCUUUAAGUAUGGGUCGAAUAUCUCAAUUACGAGAUCUAUACCUCUCCUCAAACUCUCUAGUAGGUAACAUCACCGAAGCACAUUUUUCUAAUCUCACAAACUUAUAUGGAUUCAGAAUAGCUUUCAACUCCUUGAAUGUGAUGCUACCAAAUGAUUGGCGCCCCCCUUUUAGUGCUUUCACUAUCGAUAUGAGCUUUUGUCAUAUAGGAGCAAAAUUUCCUGAUUGGAUUCAGACUCAACAGCGAUUGCAAGGGCUUUAUCUAUCUGGAGUUGGGGUCUCAGGUAGCCUUCCUGUUUGGUUUUUAGAUUUCUCAAAAGACAUGAAAGAACUUAACUUGAGAUCUAAUCAUUUGAUGGGUUCAUUACCUUCAUUAGACUUUACGGAAGCUACAAACCUCAUUUUAUUAUCAUUGUCUCAUAAUCAUAUCAAUGAUAGUCUGCCUCCCUUCUUUUGCAAUAUGCAUUUACUUGAAAUCCUUCUCCUCUCCAAUAAUCACUUAAUUGGAGAAGUUCCAGACUAUCGUAACUCAUUCCCACGCCUUCUGAUAUCUUUACAUUUAAAUAACAACAACCUGUCUGGAACGAUUCCUUCGUUUUUGAAACAUUGUGGCCAAUUACUUACCCUUGACUUAGGUGAAAAUAAAUUAUUUGAUAAAAUUCCGACAUUGAUAGGAAGAUAUCUCUCAUCAUUAAAGUUUCUUAGUCUGAGGUCAAACUUAUUAUACGGUACUAUCCCUGAGAACAUAGUGGAUCUCACUUCUCUUCAGGUAUUGGAUCUUUCUUCCAACAAUCUAACCGGUAGUCUACCAUCAUCUCUAGCAAAUUUCAGCGCCAUGGUUGAGAUACAUACACGGUCAUUUAAUGAAGGUAAUUAUUCUAAUAGCGAGAGCAUCGUAGUAACAACAAAAGGGUCAAUGGUUGAUUACACAACCAUUCUCUGGCUCGUGACAUCUAUAGAUCUAUCAAAUAAUCAUUUCUCUGGCGAAAUCCCUAAAGAGCUGCCGACACUUCUCGGACUGCGCUUCCUAAACUUAUCCAACNNNNNNNNNNNNNNNNNNNNNNNNNNNNNNNNNNNNNNNNNNNNNNNNNNNNNNNNNNNNNNNNNNNNNNNNNNNNNNNNNNNNNNNNNNNNNNNNNNNNNNNNNNNNNNNNNNNNNNNNNNNNNNNNNNNNNNNNNNNNNNNNNNNNNNNNNNNNNNNNNNNNNNNNNNNNNNNNNNNNNNNNNNNNNNNNNNNNNNNNNNNNNNNNNNNNNNNNNNNNNNNNNNNNNNNNNNNNNNNNNNNNNNNNNNNNNNNNNNNNNNNNNNNNNNNNNNNNNNNNNNNNNNNNNNNNNNNNNNNNNNNNNNNNNNNNNNNNNNNNNNNNNNNNNNNNNNNNNNNNNNNNNNNNNNNNNNNNNNNNNNNNNNNNNNNNNNNNNNNNNNNNNNNNNNNNNNNNNNNNNNNNNNNNNNNNNNNNNNNNNNNNNNNNNNNNNNNNNNNNNNNNNNNNNNNNNNNNNNNNNNNNNNNNNNNNNNNNNNNNNNNNNNNNNNNNNNNNNNNNNNNNNNNNNNNNNNNNNNNNNNNNNNNNNNNNNNNNNNNNNNNNNNNNNNNNNNNNNNNNNNNNNNNNNNNNNNNNNNNNNNNNNNNNNNNNNNNNNNNNNNNNNNNNNNNNNNNNNNNNNNNNNNNNNNNNNNNNNNNNNNNNNNNNNNNNNNNNNNNNNNNNNNNNNNNNNNNNNNNNNNNNNNNNNNNNNNNNNNNNNNNNNNNNNNNNNNNNNNNNNNUUGUAUUAGUUCUAGUAUCAUAACAUCUCCAUCUAUCAUCACUUUGCUAUCGCCCGGCCUUCGCUUUCGGAUUGAUACAUACAUAUCUGACAACUAAAAAGAUUAAUUGCAACAGUGUAUGUCAUACCCUGUUUGUUAACGAAAUAGUUAAUCUACUUAUAUUUAAUCAAUGUGACGAAUCUUUCUUUUCUGAGAUGAGACUAUAUAUUUUGAUCCUCCUCAAAAUUCAUAUAGUUAUAAUACUCACUCUUAAUUUUCUACCAGAGUACAUAUGUUUUUUUCUGCAAAAAUAAAAUCCAUGUCCAUCAAUUUUUUUCUUCUAAAAGUGAAUUAUUAUUAAUAAAUAAGUUUUAUAAAUUCAUAUCAAUCCCACUCGAGACUGCUUAUUCCUAUCAGUCAGGUGCUAAAAGCUCGAGACCUUUUGAUUAUACAAUUAUCUUAAAGAGAGAUAUCUAUGUUUCUUGAAUGAGUUUUUUUCGUUAAUCAAUAUUCUAUGUUGUGUGUGUUUGUUUCAGUAUUUAUAACCUGAGAAUAUAUGUAUGUUUUUUGUUCCUUUUUCUUGGAAAUCAUAUUUUGCAGGACUCGCAGAACUUUGAUUCGGGUGUGACCUGAAUGCUCUGCAUAAGCUCUCGAUUAGCUGCUAUUUUGGAGUUUCUAUAAUAAAAGCAGAUGAUGCAGGAGUCAAACUAUAAGAAGAUGAUGAUGGAGAUAUGCUUGAAACAAUAAUAUUAGAUGUUACUAGCGUUGUCGUGGGAUUCAUACUUGUUUCUGAAGUUUCUAUCGGCGUAGUGAUCAUGAGACAAGGCAUAAGGGAGAUAUGCAGCCGAAAGCUGAAGUCCAAAUGACAAAGAAUCAAUUGAACUGUGGCCAAGUGCUAAGAUUGUCAAUGUAUACUUUCAUGUAUUUAUGUGUUCGAGUGUUUUGAUUCACGUUUGACCAUUUGGUGUUGCCUCGCCUUGUUUAUUGAACUUGGAUAUGAUUAGUGUUCCUUUUCUUCAUCAACUACAAAUCUGGUGUCUCCACACUACAAAUUUGUUGUGUCCACGCCUACAUCUUUAUCAUGAGUUGAUUUUUUCUUUCAUGGCUAAACACUUCACAUCUUCAUGCCUACAAAAGGAUCGAUGGUUGAAUACACAACCAUUCUCUGGCUCGUGAUGUGCAUAGACUAGUAAAAUAAUCAUCUCUCCGGUGAAAUCCCAAAAGAACUGACAAAGCUUCUCGGAUUGCGCUUCCUAAACUUAUCCAACAAUCAUUUGACGGGGAGGAUUCCAGAAAAGAUUGGUGAUAUGAAACAGCUAGAAUCACUUGACUUAUCGAUGAACAGUCUCACUGGGGAGAUACCUUCAAGCUUUUCUGCUAUGAAUUUCCUGGAUUAUUUGAAUCUGUCUUACAAUAACUUGUCAGGCAAAAUACCCACGAGUGGUCAAUUGUCGACCUUUGACUCGUGGACAUAUGUGGGCAAUAAAGACCUCUGUGGUACGCCACUGCCGGAUUGCCCUGUUUAUCAAACUCCACCUGACGCACGAGUCAAACAAGAAAAAGAAGGUGAAGACGAUGAGAAGCUCCAAAAAUUAUUGGAGUACAGCAGUAUUGUGAUUGGCUUUUGGCUGUUUAUUGAAACACUCAUCGUGAAACAGGCCAUCAGAGUUGCUUUCUUCCGAUGGAUCGACGACACCAGCGACUGGAUCUAUGUUCAGUUUGCGGUAAAGCUUGCGAGGCUCAAAUCCAAAUGGCAAACGAUAACAUGAACCAUCAAGUGUUUCACCUCUUAUAUUACGACUAAAGGUCAAGUGGUCCUUUGCGGGAAGUCAUCCCCAAAUCUUGCGUUAGCAUGUAAUGUUGUUAUCAUGUUUUGUUGUCACAACAAACCAGAUGGUCUAUUUACAUUACAUGUAAUUGUUACUGCGACAUCUCCAUGCAUAUGAUCAUUUCGGUAUCAUGUUGCUUUCAAGACAAUCAAAGGUCAUUUACACAUAUCUGGCAACUAAAAGAAUUGUAUUUCAAGAGAUUAUAUGCAAAAAAAAUAUUGUUUUAUAGAAUGUCUGUCAUACAAUGUUUGCUAAUGAGAUAGUAAAUAUAGUUACAAUUUGUUGGGACUUUUUAUUUUCAGUUUUUUUUCUUUAGAAAAGAAAAAAAGAAAGAAAGAAAUUCAAGUAUAUUAUUAUGCUCAAUUAGAUAAAGAUACACAUUCAUAAAAGAGAGACAGUAUGAUUAUAAAAUAUAAUUGGGGCCAUGCUCUUGAUAUUUGGUAGUCGAUGACUUAUUCAAGUGUGAGUCUUUUUUUUUUCUCUCUUUUUUUUAGAUGAGAUUAUAUAAUUUUGAUCCUCCUUGAUGUUCAUAUUAGCACGAGACUUUUUCUUUAAAUUAUUUUUAAUUUUUUCGAAAUUCUUUUUCACAAGAAAAAGAUUUUUUUUUCGAAAUAAAAUUUGUGUUCGACAAAGCAAACUUGUCCAAAAAUUUUUAUCUGUGUAUAAACUUCUUUUGCCUAUCAUUCGGGUGCUAAAGAUUGAGAAUUCAAUAACCAAUCUCAAGAAUGGCAAUCAGAAUUCCUGCAUUGAGUUUUUUGGUCAACCAACAUUAAUUGCUUCCACAUAUUUAAUGAUCACAGCAAAAAAAUGAUUAUGUGGAAUAAUUUUCCUUCACAUCCAUAGAAUUAAGUGUGGGAACUGACUCCAAAGUGAGUCGGACUUGGGCUCCAUUCGUUCAAACUCGGGAUGUUGACCGACGUCGACUUCUCAUCGGCCCCACCUGCGUACCUCGCCGCAGCCGUUCCCCGCGUCCGCGUUCACACAGUGCACCACCGCACGCGGGGGCGUUUCACGCUCUGCAUCGCCGCCUCCCCGUGGGCCCGCACCGCCCGCCGCAGCCACAGUCGCCCGCCGCAACCGCCCACGUGCGGUCGCACCUCUCCGCUCUCAGGCAGCGAGCCCUCCACCUUCCCUUGAUCCUAUAAAUGGAGCUUUGGGGAACAACAGCGAGGGGAGCGAAGGAGAGAAGAAGAGAGGUGAAGCGAGGAAGGAGCCCAAAUCCAACCAAGUUCUUCUCCGGCGUGAAGUCCGGUCACCGUGCUCAUUGCAGCACCUGCGGAGGAGGAAGAAGAGGAAGUUGACUGGUCAACACUGAUCAACUUUGAUUGACAGGGGUAAUUUUGUAAUUUUGUUUUAUUGGCAAAUUUUGGAUUUUUUUUAAGGAAGUCGUGAUGGUGUUGUUAAACCCUCCUACGAUUUAAUUUUUUAUUUUGAUUUUUCUUCUUCUUGUGUACGUAAUAACUAUGUUUAUAUCAUAAUUUGAGUCAUGUUAAAUCGUUUAUUUUUAUUUUUCAUCCUUUAUCAUCUGAUUUUUUUCAUCGACUCGAUCUAUAUCUUAUGGCUACAUAACCUACUAAUCUUUUCUACAUAUUGUAUCAAAGCAUUCUUACCAAAGAUUAUCAGGUUGCUGGGCCUUAAUGACGAGCAUGAGAUAUAAGAUCAAAAAAUUGGAUCGAAAUUUUAAGUACUCUCUGGUAAAUAUAAAUGUUAUUUUAAUAAACUAAACUUGUGACAAAGGUAAUCGAGAAGUCCCAACAUAAUAUACAAUCAAAAUCGAUGUCGACACUUAAGAAAUGGUGUGUGAAAGUCCCAACUACUUUUGUGGUUGUAAGAAAAUAUGGAUCUAUACUAUAUAAUUAAUGAAUAAAUUGAAACUCCAUUUAUAAUAAUUGAUCAAAUGUGUCUUCGAUUGACUAGCCAAUAAAAUCUCCGAUGUUAAUGAAUCAUUCUAACUCUUAUAUCUUUAUCGUUAGUUGAAAUUUUCUAUCACGGUUAAACUCUUUAUAUCUAAAUCCCCGAUAUUCAUUUAUGAAACACCUAAGUCUCACGUGCUAAUCAAUCAUGUUUCAUGUUUUAUUUCUUAACCACGGAAUACAUUAAAGUCUCCAAGAGAUAGAUAUGUACCUUAUUGACGUUGACUUGCGUCCGACGAAAAUGCAAGACUUUCUCAGCCAUAUCGUAGACCUCGUACACUCAUAGGUAACUUCUUUCCAACCUCACACCAUAUGGAAAAGAAGUUCGAAAUGACCUUUCAUGCUAAUUCACCUCUUCCAACCAUUCAUUGCGUUGCGAGAAAUAUUUAUACUUUUCUUUCAACACUGAAAUAUAUAUAUAUAUAUAUAUAUAUAUAUAUAUAUAUAUAUAUAUAUAUAUAUAUAUAUAUAUAUAUAUAUAUAUAUAUAUAUAUAUAUAUAUAUAUAUAUAUAUAUAUAUAUAUAUAUAUANNNNNNNNNNNNNNNNNNNNNNNNNNNNNNNNNNNNNNNNNNNNNNNNNNNNNNNNNNNNNNNNNNNNNNNNNNNNNNNNNNNNNNNNNNNNNNNNNNNNNNNNNNNNNNNNNNNNNNNNNNNNNNNNNNNNNNNNNNNNNNNNNNNNNNNNNNNNNNNNNNNNNNNNNNNNNNNNNNCCGCAGGAGGACGGCAGAGGGAGAGGAACAGUUGCCGCCGGGCGAGGAGGAGGUGCGCGGAGCCACUGUCGGCGUUGGCGAUCAGGCUCCACCUGCCAUGAGAUCAUCCAAAAUCCUGCCAAUUGAAAGCAAAAUUGGAUCUUUAUGGGAGAAAACUCCACAAAAUCGAAUUUUUAGAAGAAAACCCGUCAGAAAUCACGCAAUUUAUUAACCUUAAAGGAACAAAAAAAGGAAAAAUCGAGGGCAGUAAACGAGAAAAUAUCGAGAAGAAACAGAUGGCACCAAUCCGAUUGACGUUCAUCAAAUUAAAUUUUAGUAAACUAAUUUUUAAAUACUUAAAAAUCUUGAAAAUUCAAAAUAGGAUGAUUUGAUAAUUCAAAAAUUAUAAUAGAAUUUAUUAGUGCGACAAGGUAAUUUUUGUCUGUGUUACAUAUUUUCUAGUGCAAAUUUUUAAGAUUUUUUCUUUGGGUUUUUUGGAGGUGUCCCUUCUCAUAUUUGUCAAUCCAAUCUAUUAUCACUAUACAAAGCAGAUACAUUACACCCUUUAGACCGGUCUAUUAUCACGAUACUAUGUGUUAUGGAUCGAUCUAAUCCUCAUGUAUAUAGUAUUAAUUAUACUACCUGUGAAUACAUUUACAAUAUUUUUGAUAUUUUCAUAAAAAUAAUAUGUGUACUUAACAACAUUAUAACUGAUAUAUAUGUAUAUAUAUAUAUAUAUAUAUAUAUAUAUAUAUAUUAAAAAUCCAAUAGAAACUUAAUUCUUAUAAAAAUAGAGAUCAUUAUUAUUUUAAAAAAUAAAUAACUAAACAAAAAGAUUUUUAUAUCGAUUAUGUAUUUUAUCAGUCUCGAAACUUAUGAGAGUAAAUAAUGCUGAUGACAUAACAAGAAUAUAAGUUUUUGUUGCUUUGUCGGAAGAAAGAUCGCUGUUGUUGGUGAAGGUUUAUUAGAUGGACAACGAAUCGAUGAGCAACAAGUGGUUUUCAUUGUGAGUCGUUGAAUAGUGAUGGCCACUUCAACACUGUACAGUUGAUGAUAGUCGGAUUCCCCAAAAGCCUUGGGAUUUGAGUUCGAAAGUUUUUCACUAAGCAUAUGUGAUUGUAUAAAAAAGAUUAUUUUUAUCUUUAUAAUUUAAAAAAAAAUUAUAGUAAUUUAUCCCUAAUUAUGCCAUCGCCUGUGUUUGAUCUUUCGAUCCAUCGACCAUCGCGGAAAGGCAUAAGUGAUUAGAAAAGGGAAAAGGGAUGAUUAGUAUUACCUGCUAGUUAAUGCAUACAAAUAUAAAGGAGGGAGACAUGACCAAGCACGAUGGAGAGCGAUGAGCGAUAUGGAUAAAAUGAUAAACUAAAAAAAAUACUAUAUAUUUUUUAAAAUUGAGAUAUUUGUGAGAAAAAAAUAAAAUAUUUUUUAAAAAAAAUUCAACUCAAUGAUUCCACAUCAAAGUGGAGGAUGGAAUAAACUUUUUGAUACUUAUCCUCAAGACCCAUCAUAGACUCCGUUAAUUAAACUUGUCAUACUCAAAUGUUAUUGACUUUGACUUGAAUGUCACCCCCACAAUAAACUUCUAAGUCUUCUUGACCUCAACUGCCCACGAUCAAAUCUACAUAGAACCCACGGAAAUCACGAGGUAUGGAGUUACCCGUAUAUACCCGUGGAAGCCUCACGUGAUUUUCGUGAUAUUGUCAAGUAUGCUUCUGAUUUAGCUUUCAUGCAAUUCAUUUCAUCGAAUCAUUUCAUCAUGAUACUAAUCUUAGGACAAAGGUUAUCUGGAAGGAGAUUAGCUGUGUAAUAUCUAUAAACAUGACAACCAGUCAAAAUCGAUGUAGACAUUUAGGAAAUUAGGGCCCUCUCCAAUUUACAUGAAUCAUGUUGUUGCUUUGUGAGUGGAAGUUAAGGUCCCUCUCCAACUUACAUGGAUCAUCCAUCCUCGCAUCAGAAUUAAGUGGGAGACCUUGACAUUGACUUGCAUCUUAGCGACACUAAAGUCAAAGUGUGAUUGACCUUGACUGCGUGCUAGCCACGGGAUCAAAUCUAUAGGGAAUGUGCGCAGAUGUCAUGGGGAUUUCCGGUGGUGAUGUGCCUAUACAUACCCACAGAGACAUCCUCUCCAACCUCACACCUUCACAUUUCUUCUCUCUCGAGCGUUCCAUCAAUGGCUGUAGCUGGUAGCGGCAGUUUCCAGGACGGACGUAUUGCCUCGAAGCGUCUCAUGAUGCUCGUGGCCCUGCUUCUCGUCUCCUGCUGUCUCGGCCAUGGCUUCGGCGAUGAGGAUCAUGUCGAGGUGGAGGGAAUCGGCAGCAGUUGCAUGGAAAGCGAGAGGCGAGCUCUCCUCGCCAUCAAAUCUGAUAUGUACGACCCCGACAACUGGUUUUCUUCUUGGACCGGCAAAGACUGCUGUGGGUGGAGAGGUGUGGCGUGCGACCACACCACCGGCCAUGUCACCAAGCUCGACCUCCGCUACCCCUACACAUACACAACCACAUACUUAUACACAACCGAUCUGUGGGAUGUGUUUAACGACGGGGAUACAAUAGGCGUCAGCAAGGUAAAUCCAUCUUUGCAAGAACUGAAGCAUUUGAAGUAUUUGGAUUUGAGCAUGAAUAACUUCUCCCACGCCCCUGUGCCCACAAUGAUCGCUUCACUGGUCCACUUGGAAUAUCUCAACCUAUCUAAUGCCAUGUUCGAUGGACUGAUUCCUCCUCAGCUGGGGAACCUCUCAAACCUACACUAUCUCGACCUUCAGGGAUGGCAUUAUGAUGAUUUACAUGUUGAUAAUCUCGAUUGGCUCUCCCGUAUUCCUUCUCUAAAAUAUCUUGAAAUGAGUUAUGUCAAGCUCUCCAAAGCAACCAAUUGGUUCUACAUAAUUAAUUCAAUCUCCACACUUGAAGUGCUACAUUUGAUUUAUGUAGACCUGCCAUAUGUUCCAUCUCCUUUGCCC